RNAcentral lists this transfer RNA (82 nucleotides) under Echinostoma caproni. It matches the Rfam family "tRNA". Rfam says of the family: Transfer RNA (tRNA) molecules are approximately 80 nucleotides in length. Their secondary structure includes four short double-helical elements and three loops (D, anti-codon, and T loops). Further hydrogen bonds mediate the characteristic L-shaped molecular structure. tRNAs have two regions of fundamental functional importance: the anti-codon, which is responsible for specific mRNA codon recognition, and the 3' end, to which the tRNAs corresponding amino acid is attached (by aminoacyl-tRNA synthetases). tRNAs cope with the degeneracy of the genetic code in two manners: having more than one tRNA (with a specific anti-codon) for a particular amino acid; and 'wobble' base-pairing, i.e. permitting non-standard base-pairing at the 3rd anti-codon position. The record is from Rfam by way of RNAcentral. Lineage: Eukaryota; Metazoa; Platyhelminthes; Trematoda; Plagiorchiida; Echinostomatidae.
GGUCUCGUAGCUCAGCUGGUAGAGCAUGCGCGUACAAAGUGUAUGCGGCGUCCAUGCGUGGGUUCGAAUCCUACCGAGGUUA